This 363-nucleotide ribosomal RNA is filed under the name uncultured bacterium. Its description in RNAcentral is "bacterial SSU rRNA". It matches the Rfam family "Bacterial small subunit ribosomal RNA", at positions 29 to 416 of the family's 1533-position model. The record is from RNAcentral.
AACGAACGCUGGCGGCAGGCCUAACACAUGCAAGUCGAACGCUCGUAGCAAUACGAGAGUGGCAGACGGGUGAGUAACACGUGGGAACCUUCCCUAUGGUUCGGAAUAGCCCAGGGAAACUUGGGGUAAUACCGGAUAAGCCCUUCGGGGGAAAGGAUUUAUCGCCAUUGGAUGGGCCCGCGUCGGAUUAGCUAGUUGGUGGGGUAACGGCCUACCAAGGCGACGAUCCGUAGCUGGUCUGAGAGGAUGAUCAGCCACACUGGGACUGAGACACGGCCCAGACUCCUACGGGAGGCAGCAGUGGGGAAUCUUGCGCAAUGGGCGAAAGCCUGACGCAGCGACGCCGCGUGAGGGAUGACGGCC